GGAGGAUGCAAGCGUUAUCCGGAAUUAUUGGGCGUAAAGCGUCCGCAGGUGGUGUUUCAAGUCUGCUGUCAAAGACCGAAGCUUAACUUCGGGCAGGCGGUGGAAACUGAAAGACUAGAGUACGGUAGGGGUAGAGGGAAUUUCCAGUGUAGCGGUGAAAUGCGUAGAGAUUGGAAAGAACACCAGUGGCGAAGGCGCUCUACUGGACCGUAACUGACACUCAGGGACGAAAGCUAGGGUAGCGAAAGGGAUUAGAUACCCCUGUAGUCCUAGCCGUAAACGAUGGAUACUAGGCGUUGCUUGUAUCGACCCGAGCAGUGCCGUAGCCAACGCGUUAAGUAUCCCGCCUGGGGAGUACGCACGCAAGUGUG
Molecule: ribosomal RNA, 371 nt
Filed under: uncultured bacterium
Lineage: Bacteria
Description: bacterial SSU rRNA
Rfam family: Bacterial small subunit ribosomal RNA
Source: RNAcentral